GCUGGUGUGACUUCUCAGUGGACUCUGCCCUGAAUUGGUGACGUGUUCUCCAAAGGGCCCAAGUUAGAAUCCCAAGAGCCUCAGCAAAGGGACUGUGUUCUCCCCCUAUCAAGCCAAGAAAGCAAAAGACUGAAAACUUCAAUAAGGCAAAGGUGAUAAAAAUGUCUUCAUGGACCCUUGAGUAAAAUGGAUUGUCAGUCAGAUUAUCUGGGUUGAAGAUCUGGCUUUGAUGCUAACCACCUACUGACCAGGAGAACGGGGUUUUGUCACUUAGGUGCUCAAUGCUGGACUCCUGAAGACCACAGCUCAGUCAUGUGAGAUACCUGUCAACCAUGAGGAAGCCCAAGGGAUGGAUCAGUUCACAGUGAAACAUCCUUGACGUUCUGUUGUAAGCACCAAAUAGAAAGUGAAGGCAAGAAAGCAGAUGCACAGCCAAAUAAACCGGAAGACCAGGAAGACAAUGAGAGGCCAACAAGAGAAUCUCAGGAUGGAAGAAGAGAUUUUCAUAAAUGAAACUGGAGGCCUUCAGAAACUGCCUGGGUCAGCCUCACUUAAAAGUACAAGAGCAGGUAAAACUUGCCCAGGUGGUAACAUUGGAAACAUACAGGGUUUUGCACCUUCCAGUUAGUGCAUGAGAAAUGUGCUAAAACAUUACAUAGUAGAGACCUUGGUUAUGGUUAGGGUUUUGAUCAGCAAGCCAUUCCCUCACCCUUUAAUUUCCAAGUCACACAGAGUGAGAGUUGACUAAGCCAAUAAAACAAGGUCAUGGACAUUUGCAGUAUGUACACAGAUUGUGAUGUGGUAGGCAAACUGGGAGUUAGGCAGGGGAUAGAGGAGAAAUAUUUUUUGGGUUU
This is a long non-coding RNA of Myotis davidii, 854 nucleotides long. RefSeq lists it as uncharacterized. NCBI's taxonomy places the organism in Eukaryota, Metazoa, Chordata, Mammalia, Chiroptera, Vespertilionidae. The transcript is spliced from 3 exons. The record is from RefSeq and is a predicted model, not a curated record.